AAUAAGUGUAGUUUUGCACAGUUAAUUUCUAACGUUUGAACGUCCGUCUUAUUUGAAUUUUUUUUAUAAUUACUAUUUUUAUUGUUAUUAUAUGAUAAAGUAUUAAUACUAUUUUAUGAGUGACUUUUUUUUAAAAAAAAAUAUAAAUAAAAUGGAUGGUCUAUUUCGAAACGGGGUUGUGUGUGCUGGCCUCGUU
This 196-nucleotide microRNA precursor is filed under the name Oryza nivara. RNAcentral's name for it is "MIR812 microRNA precursor family". It matches the Rfam family "MIR812 microRNA precursor family". Lineage: Eukaryota; Viridiplantae; Streptophyta; Magnoliopsida; Poales; Poaceae. The record is from Rfam by way of RNAcentral.